RNAcentral lists this ribosomal RNA (690 nucleotides) under uncultured Staphylococcus sp. Its description in RNAcentral is "bacterial SSU rRNA". It matches the Rfam family "Bacterial small subunit ribosomal RNA", at positions 61 to 733 of the family's 1533-position model. The record is from RNAcentral. Lineage: Bacteria; Bacillati; Bacillota; Bacilli; Caryophanales; Staphylococcaceae.
GUCGAGCGAACAGACGAGGAGCUUGCUCCUCUGACGUUAGCGGCGGACGGGUGAGUAACACGUGGAUAACCUACCUAUAAGACUGGGAUAACUUCGGGAAACCGGAGCUAAUACCGGAUAAUAUAUUGAACCGCAUGGUUCAAUAGUGAAAGACGGUUUUGCUGUCACUUAUAGAUGGAUCCGCGCCGCAUUAGCUAGUUGGUAAGGUAACGGCUUACCAAGGCAACGAUGCGUAGCCGACCUGAGAGGGUGAUCGGCCACACUGGAACUGAGACACGGUCCAGACUCCUACGGGAGGCAGCAGUAGGGAAUCUUCCGCAAUGGGCGAAAGCCUGACGGAGCAACGCCGCGUGAGUGAUGAAGGUCUUCGGAUCGUAAAACUCUGUUAUUAGGGAAGAACAAAUGUGUAAGUAACUAUGCACGUCUUGACGGUACCUAAUCAGAAAGCCACGGCUAACUACGUGCCAGCAGCCGCGGUAAUACGUAGGUGGCAAGCGUUAUCCGGAAUUAUUGGGCGUAAAGCGCGCGUAGGCGGUUUUUUAAGUCUGAUGUGAAAGCCCACGGCUCAACCGUGGAGGGUCAUUGGAAACUGGAAAACUUGAGUGCAGAAGAGGAAGGUGGAAUUCCAUGUGUAGCGGUGAAAUGCGCAGAGAUAUGGAGGAACACCAGUGGCGAAGGCGACUUUCUGGU